UACGAGGGGUGCAAGCGUUGUUCGGAAUUACUGGGCGUAAAGCGCGUGUAGGUUGUUAAAUGUGUCGAAUGUGAAAGCCCUGGGCUUAACCCAGGAAGUGCGUUCGAAACUGUUUAACUCGAGUGCGGGAGAGGAGGGCGGAAUUCCCAGUGUAGAGGUGAAAUUCGUAGAUAUUGGGAGGAACACCGGAGGCGAAAGCGGCUCUCUAGACCGUAACUGACACUGAGACGCGAAAGCGUGGGGAUCAAACAGG
Molecule: ribosomal RNA, 253 nt
Filed under: uncultured bacterium
Lineage: Bacteria
Description: partial 16S ribosomal RNA
Rfam family: Bacterial small subunit ribosomal RNA
Source: RNAcentral